AUGAAGAACGUAGCGAAAUGCGAUACCUGGUGUGAAUUGCAGAAUCCCGCGAACCAUCGAGUCUUUGAACGCAAGUUGCGCCCGAGGCCACUCGGCCGAGGGCACGCCUGCCUGGGCGUCACGCCAAAACACGCUCCCAACCCCCUCAUCAGGAAUCAGGAUGUGGCAUCUGGUCCCUCGUUUCGCAAGGGGCGGUGGACCGAAGAUCAGGCUGCCGGCGUACCGCGCCGGACACAGCGCAUGGUGGGCGUCCUCGCUUUAUCAACGCAGUGCAUCCGACGCGCAGCCGGCAUGAUGGCCUCAAAAUGA
This 309-nucleotide unclassified non-coding RNA is filed under the name Triticum aestivum (bread wheat). RNAcentral describes it as "partial contains 5.8S ribosomal RNA and internal transcribed spacer 2". The stretch from base 1 to 121 matches the Rfam family "5.8S ribosomal RNA", at positions 36 to 154 of the family's 154-position model. The record is from RNAcentral. Lineage: Eukaryota; Viridiplantae; Streptophyta; Magnoliopsida; Poales; Poaceae.